AUAAUUUUUCAUACAAGUUUUUUGAAUCAUAUGUUACCAUUUUUUCUCUCUUGUAUUUCAGUGUCAUUUUGGUUUUCAUUUGAUUGUAGACCUUUUUAACUUUGAUGUCUAAAGAGAUAAAUAAUUUUUCAUACAAGUUUUUUGUAUCAUAUGUUACCAUUUUUUCUCUGUUGUUUUUCAAUGUCAUUUUAUCAUAUCAAAGUUGAUUUUACACAGUAAAAUACGAAUAUGUGACCUUGAAUGAGUUGUCAAGGGAAGUCAUUCCUUCCUGUCAAACUGUGUAUACUUGUUUUAAUUUAACAUUGUAUAAGUUGACUGCUAUUUUGUAUUUUAUGUAUGUAAGAAUAUAUUUGAAUAAAAGAACAAGAGA
RNAcentral lists this long non-coding RNA (370 nucleotides) under Mytilus galloprovincialis (Mediterranean mussel). Lineage: Eukaryota; Metazoa; Mollusca; Bivalvia; Mytilida; Mytilidae. The record is from RNAcentral.